UACGUAGGGUGCAAGCGUUGUCCGGAAUUAUUGGGCGUAAAGAGCUCGUAGGCGGUUUGUCGCGUCUGCUGUGAAAACGCGAGGCUCAACCUCGCGCCUGCAGUGGGUACGGGCAGACUGGAGUGCGGUAGGGGAGAUUGGAAUUCCUGGUGUAGCGGUGGAAUGCGCAGAUAUCAGGAGGAACACCGAUGGCGAAGGCAGAUCUCUGGGCCGUAACUGACGCUGAGGAGCGAAAGCAUGGGGAGCGAACAGG
RNAcentral lists this ribosomal RNA (253 nucleotides) under uncultured bacterium. Its description in RNAcentral is "partial 16S ribosomal RNA". It matches the Rfam family "Bacterial small subunit ribosomal RNA", at positions 524 to 776 of the family's 1533-position model. The record is from RNAcentral.